GAUGAAGAACGCAGCGAAAUGCGAUAAGUAGUGUGAAUUGCAGAAUUCAGUGAAUCAUCGAAUCUUUGAAUGCACAUUGCGCCCCUUGGUAUCCCGAGGGGCAUGCCUGUUCGAGCGUCAUUUCACCACUCAAGCCUGGCUUGGUGUUGGGCGACGUCCCCUUUGGGGACGCGCCUCGAAACGCUCGGCGGCGUGGCACCGGCUUUAAGCGUAGCAGAAUCUUUCGCUUUGGAAGUCGGGGCCCCGUCUGCCGGAAGACCUACUCGCAAGGUUGACCUCGGAUCAGGCAGGGACACCCGCUGAACUUAAGCAUAUCAAUAAGCGGAGGA
Molecule: unclassified non-coding RNA, 329 nt
Filed under: soil metagenome
Description: partial contains 5.8S ribosomal RNA, internal transcribed spacer 2, and large subunit ribosomal RNA
Rfam family: 5.8S ribosomal RNA (bases 1-120)
Source: RNAcentral